Molecule: ribosomal RNA, 918 nt
Filed under: uncultured archaeon A175
Lineage: Archaea
Description: bacterial SSU rRNA
Rfam family: Archaeal small subunit ribosomal RNA
Source: RNAcentral
UUCCGGUUGAUCCUGCCGGAGGCCAUUGCUAUCGGAGUCCGAUUUAGCCAUGCUAGUUGUGCGGGUUUAGACCCGCAGCGGAAAGCUCAGUAACACGUGGCCAAACUACCCUGUGGAUGGGAACAAUCUCGGGAAACUGAGGCUAAUUCCCAAUAACGCUCCACCCCUGGAACGGGCGGAGCUGGAAACGCUACGGCGCCACAGGAUGUGGCUGCGGUCGAUUAGGUAGACGGUGGGGUAACGGCCCACCGUGCCAAUAAUCGGUACGGGUUGUGAGAGCAAGAGCCCGGAGACGGAAUCUGAGACAAGAUUCCGGGCCCUACGGGGCGCAGCAGGCGCGAAACCUUUACACUGUACGCAAGUGCGAUAAGGGGACUCCGAGUGUGAAGGCAUAGAGCCUUCACUUUUGUACACCGUAAGGUGGUGUACGAAUAAGGGCUGGGCAAGACCGGUGCCAGCCGCCGCGGUAAUACCGGCAGCCCGAGUGAUGGCCGAUAUUAUUGGGCCUAAAGCGUCCGUAGCUGGCCGGACAAGUCCGUUGGGAAAUCUGUUCGCUUAACGAGCAGGCGUCCAGCGGAAACUGUUCGGCUUGGGACCGGAAGACCUGAGGGGUACGUCCGGGGUAGGAGUGAAAUCCUGUAAUCCUGGACGGACCACCGGUGGCGAAAGCGCCUCAGGAGAACGGAUCCGACAGUGAGGGACGAAAGCUAGGGUCUCGAACCGGAUUAGAUACCCGGGUAGUCCUAGCUGUAAACGAUGCCCGCUAGGUGUGGCGCAGGCUACGAGCCUGCGCUGUGCCGUAGGGAAGCCGAGAAGCGGGCCGCCUGGGAAGUACGUCUGCAAGGAUGAAACUUAAAGGAAUUGGCGGGGGAGCACUACAACCGGAGGAGCCUGCGGUUUAAUUGGAUUCAACGCCGG